This is a long non-coding RNA of Lepidothrix coronata (blue-crowned manakin), 1299 nucleotides long. RefSeq lists it as uncharacterized. The record is from RefSeq and is a predicted model, not a curated record. The transcript is spliced from 7 exons. NCBI's taxonomy places the organism in Eukaryota, Metazoa, Chordata, Aves, Passeriformes, Pipridae.
AAAGGUUAAAAUCUUUUUGUUGAUCUCGUGGCUUCCAUUUUUAAUCAUUCCAGAGAAAUAUGGCUUGGCUUAGCUCACUAGGAAAGAUCUGAGAGACUUUUGGACAGAAGAUGCCAUAGGAAUGCCCAGCUUUCACCAGGGAAUACAAGUUAUGUCCUCUGCAGCACUACUUUAAACCAAGCCUCAACUUGGACGGACUAGAAGCUACUGAGUGCUAACAGCUGCUUAUUUGGGGAUCUUGAUCCUGGUCACCCUCUGGCACUGAGGAGACUCAGGUUGACAGUGUGAGAUCCUGCCAAAUGUCCCUCACAGCUGCAGUUUGAGUAAAACCUGACAGGGAAACAACAAUCUGCAGGCAUCAAUUGCAGGGCACUUGGAGAAAGCCAAGUAAACUCCAGUGUGUCCUUUGAACUUAUUCUGCAUUGACUGCACCAUGUCAGCUAAGUGUGUUAUAGCCUCAUGCCUCAAAUAAGAAGUCUCUUUCCAUCUGGGAAAAGAGGGUGAAAAAUUGGAUUCAAUGGCUUCAAUGGAAUUCAUACUACAAAGUGCUAACUCAUCUGCAGAGAAAACAAGAUUUCUGGAAGCCAUCUGCCAAACAUCACAGUUGAGUGUGGGAGGGAAAGAGCAAAUGAAAGUGAACUACAUGAAAUAUGGGGGGGGAAAGAGACUAAGAACUAUGGGGAUGUUGUGAAGUUGAACCAGUGUAGCCCAGCUUACUGCAGAGGAAGCAGGACUUGUGGAAGCUCCUUCCAUUGCACUGGAUUUCCUCAGCGUGGUACACGGUCUUUUCACAGGCACCACAUUUGGCUCCACCCCCCCAGUUUGGCAUCCCUGUCUCUGAGAGAAUGAAAUGAACAAUGUCUACGUGCCAGCUCUGCAGCCUGAAGGGAAUUCUUUCUGACAACUAAUACCAAAAAUCCUACAAUGGUAUAAGAAUCUGUCCAGCAAAAGGAAGGUGGCAUGAGAGUGUGUGCACACACUGAAGCCAUAGCACUGGAGACAUGGCAAUGUGAGCAGGUUUUACAGUCAGUGUUUGAUAACAGUGCAGGUACCAGCACAUCCAAACCUCUCUGCCUUAGCACAGCAAUGAUUAGUAUCUCUUUAACCCCGUGUAAUUAAAUAGUCACUAUUGUGACUGGUACCUGUGGUAGACAGCACACCUGUCAUCCUCAUGCAGGGUCCAAUCUCCCCUCCUCUUUGUGAGGCUGAGUUGUGCUCAGCUGAACACCCUCCCCAGCUCAGUCAGCCCAGUCCUUUGCUGUAACACAGCAGCACCAUCGUUAAUCUCUUCCAGACCCU